UAGCCCGGAUGUACCUAUAUCACGCUAGAACCUCGGCGACAGCGUGUGCUGCGGUCGCAUGAGGAGGUGCAUGGAGUAAUUUUGGCCGGAGGACAUGGACCGGCGUCGCCGCUGUUUUAUAUUCGCCGGAAUCCUUACCUGUGCCUCACUCUGCUGUGGCGGACCAGUGGAUUGUGUGGCGCACCAGCAUCCUAAUGGCUCAGUGACUUAUGUCUUACCUAAGCCUCUGUGCCCGGGGCAGUGGUCCUUCAACAACACUGUCAUCGCUUUUAAUGAAGACAAUGGAACAGAAUACAAUAAAACUCUAGUUUCUGCUCUAGCUGAGGCUUUCAUCACUCUGAAGAGCUGCAAGCACACCUUGACCUUCAGAAAAGUGUGCACGGCGGAGCCUCAAAUAAUACACUGUUCACACAACUGUUCUGCUAUGGACUUAGCUCCCUUUGGUAUGCAAGGCAAGUCAAAAAAAAAUUCCCUCCUCUCUCUCUCUCCUGAUCAGUAUUGCAUACUGGGGUGCUACGCUAUUGUGAUCUGA
Molecule: long non-coding RNA, 532 nt
Filed under: Scleropages formosus (Asian bonytongue)
Lineage: Eukaryota; Metazoa; Chordata; Actinopteri; Osteoglossiformes; Osteoglossidae
Description: lncRNA (ENSSFOG00015031301.1)
Source: RNAcentral